GGUUAAGUUAGAAAGGGCGCACGGUGGAUGCCUUGGCACUAGGAGCCGAUGAAGGACGGGACGAACACCGAUAUGCUUCGGGGAGCUGUAAGCAAGCUUUGAUCCGGAGAUUUCCGAAUGGGGAAACCCACCACUCGUAAUGGAGUGGUAUCCAUAUCUGAAUACAUAGGAUAUGAGAAGGUAGACCCGGGGAACUGAAACAUCUAAGUACCCGGAGGAAGAGAAAGCAAAUGCGAUUCCCUGAGUAGCGGCGAGCGAAACGGGACCAGCCCAAACCAAGAGGCUUGCCUCUUGGGGUUGUAGGACACUCUGUACGGAGUUACAAAGGAACGAGGUAGAUGAAGAGGUCUGGAAAGGCCCGCCAUAGGAGGUAACAGCCCUGUAGUCAAAACUUCGUUCUCUCCUGAGUGGAUCCUGAGUACGGCGGAACACGUGAAAUUCCGUCGGAAUCCGGGAGGACCAUCUCCCAAGGCUAAAUACUCCCUAGUGACCGAUAGUGAACCAGUACCGUGAGGGAAAGGUGAAAAGCACCCCGGAAGGGGAGUGAAAGAGAUCCUGAAACCGUGUGCCUACAAGUAGUCAGAGCCCGUUAACGGGUGAUGGCGUGCCUUUUGUAGAAUGAACCGGCGAGUUACGAUCCCGUGCAAGGUUAAGCAGAAGAUGCGGAGCCGCAGCGAAAGCGAGUCUGAAUAGGGCGAAUUGAGUACGUGGUCGUAGACCCGAAACCAGGUGAUCUACCCAUGUCCAGGGUGAAGUUCAGGUAACACUGAAUGGAGGCCCGAACCCACGCACGUUGAAAAGUGCGGGGAUGAGGUGUGGGUAGGGGUGAAAUGCCAAUCGAACCUGGAGAUAGCUGGUUCUCUCCGAAAUAGCUUUAGGGCUAGCCUCAAGGUAAGAGUCUCGGAGGUAGAGCACUGAUUGGACUAGGGGCCCCUACCGGGUUACCGAAUUCAGUCAAACUCCGAAUGCCGAUGACUUAUCCUUGGGAGUCAGACUGCGAGUGAUAAGAUCCGUAGUCGAAAGGGAAACAGCCCAGACCGCCAGCUAAGGUCCCAAAGUAUACGUUAAGUGGAAAAGGAUGUGGAGUUGCUUAGACAACCAGGAUGUUGGCUUAGAAGCAGCCACCAUUUAAAGAGUGCGUAAUAGCUCACUGGUCGAGUGACUCUGCGCCGAAAAUGUACCGGGGCUAAACGUAUCACCGAAGCUGCGGACUGUUCUUCGAACAGUGGUAGGAGAGCGUUCUAAGGGCUGUGAAGCAAGACCGGAAGGACUUGUGGAGCGCUUAGAAGUGAGAAUGCCGGUAUGAGUAGCGAAAGAGGGGUGAGAAUCCCCUCCACCGAAUGCCUAAGGUUUCCUGAGGAAGGCUCGUCCGCUCAGGGUUAGUCGGGACCUAAGCCGAGGCCGAAAGGCGUAGGCGAUGGAUAACAGGUUGAUAUUCCUGUACCACCUCCUCACCAUUUGAGCAAUGGGGGGACGCAGGAGGAUAGGGUAAGCGCGGUAUUGGAUAUCCGCGUCCAAGCAGUUAGGCUGGGAAAUAGGCAAAUCCGUUUCCCGUGAAGGCUGAGCUGUGAUGGCGAGCGAAUUAUAGUAGCGAAGUUCCUGAUUCCACACUGCCAAGAAAAGCCUCUAGCGAGGUGAGAGGUGCCCGUACCGCAAACCGACACAGGUAGGCGAGGAGAGAAUCCUAAGGUGAUCGAGAGAACUCUCGUUAAGGAACUCGGCAAAAUGACCCCGUAACUUCGGGAGAAGGGGUGCUCUGUUAGGGUGCAAGCCCGAGAGAGCCGCAGUGAAUAGGCCCAGGCGACUGUUUAGCAAAAACACAGGUCUCUGCGAAGCCGUAAGGCGAAGUAUAGGGGCUGACGCCUGCCCGGUGCUGGAAGGUUAAGAGGAGCGCUUAGCGUAAGCGAAGGUGCGAAUUGAAGCCCCAGUAAACGGCGGCCGUAACUAUAACGGUCCUAAGGUAGCGAAAUUCCUUGUCGGGUAAGUUCCGACCCGCACGAAAGGCGCAACGAUCUGGGCACUGUCUCAACGAGAGACUCGGUGAAAUUAUAGUACCUGUGAAGAUGCAGGUUACCCGCGACAGGACGGAAAGACCCCGUGGAGCUUUACUGCAGCCUGAUAUUGAAUGUUGGUACAGCUUGUACAGGAUAGGUAGGAGCCUUGGAAACCGGAGCGCCAGCUUCGGUGGAGGCAUCGGUGGGAUACUACCCUGGCUGUAUUGACCUUCUAACCCGCCGCCCUUAUCGGGCGGGGAGACAGUGUCAGGUGGGCAGUUUGACUGGGGCGGUCGCCUCCUAAAAGGUAACGGAGGCGCCCAAAGGUUCCCUCAGAAUGGUUGGAAAUCAUUCGCAGAGUGUAAAGGCACAAGGGAGCUUGACUGCGAGACCUACAAGUCGAGCAGGGACGAAAGUCGGGCUUAGUGAUCCGGUGGUUCCGCAUGGAAGGGCCAUCGCUCAACGGAUAAAAGCUACCCCGGGGAUAACAGGCUUAUCUCCCCCAAGAGUCCACAUCGACGGGGAGGUUUGGCACCUCGAUGUCGGCUCAUCGCAUCCUGGGGCUGUAGUCGGUCCCAAGGGUUGGGCUGUUCGCCCAUUAAAGCGGUACGCGAGCUGGGUUCAGAACGUCGUGAGACAGUUCGGUCCCUAUCCGUCGCGGGCGCAGGAAAUUUGAGAGGAGCUGUCCUUAGUACGAGAGGACCGGGAUGGACGCACCGCUGGUGUACCAGUUGUUCUGCCAAGGGCAUCGCUGGGUAGCUAUGUGCGGACGGGAUAAGUGCUGAAAGCAUCUAAGCAUGAAGCCCCCCUCAAGAUGAGAUUUCCCAUUCCGCAAGGAAGUAAGAUCCCUGAAAGAUGAUCAGGUUGAUAGGUCUGAGGUGGAAGUGUGGCGACACAUGGAGCUGACAGAUACUAAUCGAUCGAGGACUUAACCAA
RNAcentral lists this ribosomal RNA (2930 nucleotides) under Bacillus sp. SL112. RNAcentral describes it as "23S ribosomal RNA". It matches the Rfam family "Bacterial large subunit ribosomal RNA". Lineage: Bacteria; Bacillati; Bacillota; Bacilli; Caryophanales; Bacillaceae. The record is from RNAcentral.